CUGAGUGAGGGCCCUCUGGGUCCAACCUCCCACCCGUGUUUAUUGUACCUUGUUGCUUCGGCAGGCCCGCCUCACGGCCGCCGGGGGGCUUCUCGCCCCCGGGCCCGCGCCUGCCGGAGACACCCUUGAACGCUGUCUGAAGUUUGCAGUCUGAGCGAUUAGCUAAAUUAGUUA
Molecule: unclassified non-coding RNA, 174 nt
Filed under: uncultured fungus
Lineage: Eukaryota; Fungi
Description: sequence contains ITS1, 5.8S rRNA gene
Source: RNAcentral